GGGUCAGAGAUGAGGAUACGGGCUGCCUCAUGGCAGAAUAACAGACUUUUCUCUAGGGUGUUUAUUUUUCACUCUCCAGUUCAGACAUGGUGACUGCCAUUAUGUGUGAGACACUGCUGGGGAACUUGCCUGCUUUAAAAUGCCUUAGUCACAGUCACAGUCAGAGCGAUCCUCAGUUUGAAGUUUUCAUUGUGUAGAUUUAUGUUGUUUCCUGAGACCAGGGGCAAUGCAGAUACUUCCAUUCAUUACAGGGACAUCUGCCGAGCCGGGGCAAUCUCUCAAAUACAGACAGCACGGCUAUUUUACACUAAUUUAUUCUAAUGCUGCCAAUCAUGCCAUUUGUAAGUAUGGAAGGAAAGAAAGAAAGAACGAAAGAAAGUGAGAAAAAGAAAAAGAGAUGGAAAGGAAGGAAAGCAAGAAAGCAAGAUAACGAAAAAAAGAAGGGAGAGGAAGAAAGCAAAAAAAAAGCAAAAAAGGGAAAAGAAAGUAAGAAAAAUAAAAAAAGAUGGAAAAGAUGAAAAGCAAAAAGAAUGAGAAAGAAUGAGAGAUAUACAGACGGAGGAAGAAAGAAGGUAAGAAAGCGAGAAAAAAGAGAGAGAAGAGAAGAAAGAAAGAAAGAAAGAAAGAAAGAAAGAAAGAAAGAAAGAAAGAAAUACAGACAAAGAAAGAAAGAAAGUGAGAAAAAGAAAAAGAGAUGGAAAGGAAUGAAAGCGAGAAAAAACCAAGAGAGAGAGAAAGAAAGAAAAAAGUAAACAAGGAAAAGCAAAAAAGGGAAAAGGAUGAAAGAAUGUUAGAAUAAAAGAUGGAAAAGAUGAAAGCAAGAAGAAUGAGAAAGAAAGAGAGCAAUACAGACAAAGAAAGAAAGAAAGAAAAUGAGAAAAAGAAAACGAGUUGGAAAGGAAGGACAGCAAGAAAGCCGGUGGGCGCUACACCACAGACAUCUCUCCCUGCAGUUCUCACCUUCAGUGGUGUCCCACUGAAGCUAAGCAGGUUGAGCCUGGCCAGUACCAGGAUGGGAGACCUUCUGGGGAAAACUAAGUUUGCUGCUGGAAUUGGUGUUAGUGAGGCCAGCAGGGGGCGCUCACCCUGUGGUGUGUGUGGGGCCUAAUGCCCUAGUAUAGUGACAGGGACGCUAUACUAUAAAAACAGCACCGUCCUUCAGAUGAGACUUUAAACCAAUAUCCUGACUCUCUGUGGUGGUUAAAAAUGCCAGAACACUUAUAGUAAAAGAGUCAGGGUAUAACCCUGGUGAAGUUGGCCCUUCUCUAAUAAUCCGCAUCUCUGAAUCUGCUACAUCACUCUCUCUUCUCCACUAAUAUCUGGU
Ictalurus punctatus (channel catfish) is the source of this 1324-nucleotide long non-coding RNA. NCBI's taxonomy places the organism in Eukaryota, Metazoa, Chordata, Actinopteri, Siluriformes, Ictaluridae. The record is from Ensembl.